Molecule: long non-coding RNA, 678 nt
Organism: Peromyscus eremicus (cactus mouse)
Lineage: Eukaryota; Metazoa; Chordata; Mammalia; Rodentia; Cricetidae
Exons: 2
Source: RefSeq, a predicted model, not a curated record
UACUUCCACGUUCCUGCUUGAGCUCCUGCCCUGACUUCCCUGGAUGACGGACUGUAGACUCCCUCCCCCAAGUUGUUUUUGGUUAGUGUGUCGUCACAGCCACAGAAACCUAACUAGGACAUGCAGCCCUUCAUCAGUUUGUUAACCGUCACAGCCUUUAUUGGUUCAUCCGACCGAGGUCCACGGAGUCCCCUGUUGAGGUCCAGGUCCUGACUUACUGGAGUGAAGAUGAAAUCUACUGGGGUAAUGAUAUCCCAGAAGGAGGAGAACUGUAAGAGAAGGGGACAGGGAAGAGGGGAGAAGAGAGAGAGAAGACAGGCGAGACAUGUGAAUGUGAGCAAAGUGUGUUACCUGCACACUUGGAAAUGUCGCAAUGAGCCCGUUCCUCUGUGCAGCUAAACACAUUGAAAAUGUUUAAACAAUAAUUGCGUGUCCUGCUGAUGCUGAAGACAGCAGUCGGGAAACCAUGGAGAAAUUAAGCAGUUUGUUUGUAACUGGAAGAGCUCAAAUCAAGCACUAUUAGAAGAGAAGCAUAACUGAGCCUUUGGAAACACAGAGAACACCAAGUCCAUGGGUUCUGGGAAGAAGUCAAAACUCCAUGCGCUCCUUCAGGAAGUGUGUGGCACCUUCCAUACCCUCUGUGGCUACCUCUUGAUAAACGUGCUUUCCAUGCCUUUA